Long non-coding RNA from Gallus gallus (chicken), 1619 nucleotides. The record is from Ensembl. NCBI's taxonomy places the organism in Eukaryota, Metazoa, Chordata, Aves, Galliformes, Phasianidae.
CGGCGCCGCUCCGCAGUCCGGGCCGCCCCGCACGGCACCGCCGACGGAACGGCACCGGGACGGAACCGCGGCACGACGGGAGCGGUGCUGAGCUCUGCGGUACCGCGGGGGGAGGGGGAGUGGGAUUUGGAGGGGGAGGAGUGAGUGCAGCCCCGGGACAGGAAAGGAACCCUGUGCGGCCAUAACCCACCUCCGUGUGGGGUGUGUGGUUGGGAAAUGGAUGUGGGAUUGGGGUUCGGAUGUGGGGUAUGGAAUUAGGGCUGUGGGAUUGGGAUGGGGAUUAUGGUGUGGGAUUGGAAGGUGGGGUAUAGGAAUUGGGGGUGUGGGGUUGGGUUGGGAUAAGGUCUGGGAUAUGGGAUUAGGGAUAUGGGAUUGGUAUGUGGGAUGUGGGAUUGGGAUGUGGGGUAUAGGAUUGGGGGUGUGGGAUUGGGAUUUGCAUUGGGCUGUGGGGCCGGGAAUGUGGGGUUGGGAUUGAGGUCAGGAUGUGGGAUGUAAAGAAAUGUGCCCUGUUCACAGGUGGGUCGUGUGGUGUUGUGGGGAAGCACUGCAGAUGGAAAGCUGCUGUGUGGAGCCCCACAGGAUGAGUUGCAGAGGCCCCUGAAGGAAAAGGAGAAGGAAGGGCAUUUGCAGAGGGAAAGGCUGUCCCGCUGGCCUUAGGUGUUGCUGAACGGGAGGGGUGGCCAAUGCUUUCUCUUUCCGCUGACUCACGGAUGGUGGCAAAUGCCUUCUGGGGGUGGUUCCAGCAGUGGGAAGAAAACAACUGGCAGCGGAGGGGUGAACCUCUUUGGGCUGCUGAGCUGUGUGCUGAACCAUAAGGAAGGUGGCUGUAAAGGUGUGCCGUGCAGAUGUCGUGUGCCCAGCAGUCGGGCCGAUGAAGAGCAACAAAUGAAGCGCCAGAUGUCUACAACUAUGGGAACUCUUAUACGUCACACAAAUGGGUAACCCUUCACACUUAUCGCUAACACAAAAUGCUAACCAUUCAGCACAGCUGGAAAAGGUAAAUCUGAAGCCUAAUGCCAAAGGGUAUCCCUUAAUCCUAAAGCCUGUCCCCAAAUGGGAAACCCUUAACUCGUAAUUCUAAUCCAAUAGGGCAACCAUGAAACCAAACCGAGAAGGGUACCCCGUAACUCUUAUCCCUUAAUCCAGCAUGGAGACCUUUACCCUUCCGUAACAGGCAUAACCCUUAACCCAAACUGCUAACACUGAAGCCUAACCCUGGUGAGAAGCUGUUAACACAAACCCCAAGCCGGUAGCCUGAAUGCUUCCCCCUACCCCUUUUAAAAGGGUAACCUUGAGAGCUUCCCCAAACGCAGAACGCUUGACACGUAACCCUUGAGCGCAAGCCAAGCUGGGAAGCCUUCCCCCUAAAGCGUAGCCCAAAAGGGGAACUCUCAGCUCUUAGCAAUCCCACUCACCGGUCAUACUUCACCAGAACCCCGAACGGGAUGAGGCUGAGCUUGUCUGCUGCCAGGGCUGCUCUGAGGCCCAGGGCAUGGCGAGCGGCUGUUUGGAGCGCAGCUCACAGCUGAGGUGCCUGGACCCAGCUGCCAGCUGUCCUUGGGGAGGGCCCUUUGUCGUCACGGAAACGCACUGUGACAGCAUAAAGGCUCCAGGGGCGC